Molecule: ribosomal RNA, 254 nt
Filed under: uncultured bacterium
Lineage: Bacteria
Description: partial 16S ribosomal RNA
Rfam family: Bacterial small subunit ribosomal RNA
Source: RNAcentral
UACAGAGGGUGCAAGCGUUGUCCGGAAUUAUUGGGCGUAAAGAGCUCGUAGGCGGUUCGGUAAGUUGGGUGUGAAACCUCCAGGCUCAACCUGGAGACGCCACCCGAUACUGCUGUGACUAGAGUCCGGUAGGGGAGCGUGGAAUUCCUGGUGUAGCGGUGAAAUGCGCAGAUAUCAGGAGGAACACCAGCGGCGAAGGCGGCGCUCUGGGCCGGAACUGACGCUGAGGAGCGAAAGCGUGGGUAGCAAACAGG